Molecule: unclassified non-coding RNA, 176 nt
Filed under: fungal sp.
Lineage: Eukaryota; Fungi
Description: partial internal transcribed spacer region
Rfam family: Eukaryotic small subunit ribosomal RNA (bases 1-46)
Source: RNAcentral
AAGUCGUAACAAGGUAUCCGUAGGUGAACCUGCGGAUGGAUCAUUAACAGUAUUAUUAUAAUACAACAACACAUGUGAACCGUAAGGGAGCUUACCCUCUCAUUUAUUAUUAUUUUAGACUGAAUUUUAUAGUAUAUAACAUCAUAAAACUUUUAGCAAUGGAUCUCUGGGCUCUC